UCGGGAAUUUUGGGCAAUGGGCGAAAGCCUGACCCAGCAACGCCGCGUGAGGGAGGAAGUAUUUCGGUAUGUAAACCUCGAAAGAAUGGGAAGAAUAAAUGACGGUACCAUCUAUAAGCUCCGGCUAACUACGUGCCAGCAGCCGCGGUAAUACGUAGGGAGCAAGCGUUGUACGGAUUUACUGGGCGUAAAGGGCGCGUAGGCGGCGCGGUAAGUCACUUGUGAAAUCUCUGAGCUUAACUCAGAACGGCCAAGUGAUACUUCUGUGCUAGAGUGCGGAAGAGGCAACCGGAAUUCUUGGUGUAGCGGUGAAAUGCGUAGAUAUCAAGAGGAACACCUGAGGCGAAGGCGGGUUGCUGGGCCGACACUGACGCUGAUGCGCGAAAGCCAGGG
RNAcentral lists this ribosomal RNA (393 nucleotides) under uncultured bacterium. RNAcentral's name for it is "bacterial SSU rRNA". It matches the Rfam family "Bacterial small subunit ribosomal RNA", at positions 355 to 765 of the family's 1533-position model. The record is from RNAcentral.